This 305-nucleotide ribosomal RNA is filed under the name uncultured bacterium. RNAcentral describes it as "bacterial SSU rRNA". It matches the Rfam family "Bacterial small subunit ribosomal RNA", at positions 338 to 659 of the family's 1533-position model. The record is from RNAcentral.
CCUACGGGGGGCAGCAGUCGGGAAUAUUGCGCAAUGGAGGAAACUCUGACGCAGUGACGCCGCGUAUAGGAAGAAGGUUUUCGGAUUGUAAACUAUUGUCGUUAGGGAAGAUAAAAGACUGUACCUAAGGAGGAAGCCCCGGCUAACUAUGUGCCAGCAGCCGCGGUAAUACAUAGGGGGCAAGCGUUAUCCGGAUUUACUGGGUGUAAAGGGAGCGUAGACGGCAGCGCAAGUCUGGAGUGAAAUGCCGGGGCCCAACCCCGGAACUGCUUUGGAAACUGUGCAGCUCGAGUGCAGGAGAGGUA